CUUCAUCAGAGUUGCCUGUUUGCUGCCUGUCCUAUGGAAUUUGAAUUUGUGCAGCCCCACAGUGCUGCCAUGAGAAAGGACAGAACAGAUGGACAACACCCUUACUAGCCCAGGGCUGCCCAAGACAGCCAUGGCGUCUGCUUAUCCUUGCACUGUGCUACCUCCACCUCCUCCUAACCAAGGGCCUCCUUCUGAGUUCAGGACUUUAUCACCUCAUGCCCAGACUAUUGUGAUGGUCUCCUAUCAUCCUGGAGAAUGAGCUAGCUGUUGUAAAACAGCUUCCAGAUCUCAAAGUAACACACAUGUGACACAAGAUUCAAAACACAAUGAUGAAGAUAUUGGUAAAUUCCAUGUAUCUUCUGCUCUGCACCUUAAACCCCACUCCCAGGUCCCAGAGCCAACCAGUGUUACCAAAAGACAAUGCUACUGUGGACAUUGUUGUAAAUAUAUGUUUAUCAACACAAGAGGGGGGCGUAAACCCAGUGGUGGAUCUGCUGGGUCAUAGGAUUUGAGCCUCUUUAACUUUCCUAUGUAUUACCUAAUUGCUCUUAGAAGAGAUUGUCCCAAUUUAUGUGCUCAUGAGCAGUGUAGAAGAGUUCCUGUGGCUUCACAUCCCUGCCAAAAUUUAGCAUCAGGGCACAUUAAUUUUUUCCCAAUAUGAUGAAUUUGAACAGUAUUUCAUUAUGGUUUUCAUUUGUAUUUCCCUGGUUAUGAAUGAGAAUGAGCCUCUUUGUAAAUGUGUAAAGGCCAUUUGUAUUUUUCUUUUAUGUGAACUGCCUAUUUGUGGUCUUAGCUUGUCUUUUUCUAUUGGGUUACUGUCGUUUUAUUUUUAAU
Choloepus didactylus (southern two-toed sloth) is the source of this 834-nucleotide long non-coding RNA. RefSeq lists it as uncharacterized. NCBI's taxonomy places the organism in Eukaryota, Metazoa, Chordata, Mammalia, Pilosa, Megalonychidae. The transcript is spliced from 5 exons. The record is from RefSeq and is a predicted model, not a curated record.